GACGAACGCUGGCGGCGUGCUUAACACAUGCAAGUCGAACGGAAAGGCCUGCUUUCCCUUGUGGAUUGCGGGUACUCGCGUGGCGAACGGGUGAGUAACACGUGAGUGAUCUGCCCCCAACUUGGGUAUAAGCCUGGGGAACUGGGUCUAAUUCCCGAUAGGACUGCAGGGUGGUGCCUGUGGUGGAAAACGAUUUUCUAGUGGUUGGGGAUGAGCUCGCGGCCUAUCAGCUUGUUGGUGGGGUAAUGGCCUACCAAGGCGGCGACGGGUAGCCGGCCUGAGAGGGUGGACGGCCACAGUGGGACUGAGAUACGGCCCAGACUCCUACGGGAGGCAGCAGUGGGGAAUAUUGCACAAUGGGCGGAAGCCUGAUGCAGCGACGCCGCGUGGGGGAUGACGGCCUUCGGGUUGUAAACUCCUUUCGACCGCGAGGAAGCCACCUGGUUGGAAGGGUGGUGACGGUAGUGGUAGAAGAAGCACCGGCUAACUACGUG
Molecule: ribosomal RNA, 494 nt
Filed under: uncultured bacterium
Lineage: Bacteria
Description: partial 16S ribosomal RNA
Rfam family: Bacterial small subunit ribosomal RNA
Source: RNAcentral